GCACUACUUGACACGCUAAAGUAAUGUGAGUAGGAGCUAAUAGUACACUAGCCAAUCGAUAUAUGGCGAGAGUUGAUUGGUGUGGUGUGAUGAAGAAAACGGUGAUACUGGUUGGUGUCUAUACUUUAUCCAAAUUAUCGCCUGACCGUCGAUAACGAUGAAGAUGAAGCGAUAGCUUAGUUAAUUAACCUUGUGCUAGUAGUGUUAUGUUAAUUAAGUAGACUUAAUGAGCACUUGAGCUAGUUGUACUGCCAACAAACAAAAAAGACAAAUUGAAAUUUUUCUUUACAACAUUAAUGUAAUAUACCAAUAAUAAUACUCUUAUCGGUGGAUCACUUGGCUCAUGGAUCGAUGAAGAACGCAGCUAGCUGCGAUAAAUAGUGCGAAUUGCAGACGCAUUGAGCACAAAGAUUUCGAACGCACAUUGCACUAUCGGGUUGAGUCCCGGUAGAACGUCUGGUUGAGG
This 466-nucleotide unclassified non-coding RNA is filed under the name Acanthocheilonema reconditum. Its description in RNAcentral is "sequence contains ITS1, 5.8S rRNA gene and ITS2". The stretch from base 317 to 466 matches the Rfam family "5.8S ribosomal RNA". The record is from RNAcentral. Lineage: Eukaryota; Metazoa; Nematoda; Chromadorea; Rhabditida; Onchocercidae.